UACUACCUGCUAUGCAGGUAGUUCUGAAAAGCUUUUAGCGAUGAGUAUGACAUAAAAACCUCCUUUUGUUACAAUAGAAUUGGUUUCGCCAGCCAAUCUAAAAACAAAAGG
Molecule: small RNA, 111 nt
Filed under: Desulforamulus ferrireducens
Lineage: Bacteria; Bacillati; Bacillota; Clostridia; Eubacteriales; Peptococcaceae
Description: Desulfotomaculum ferrireducens STnc490 Hfq binding RNA
Rfam family: STnc490 Hfq binding RNA
Source: Rfam by way of RNAcentral